GGCUCCGUGGCCUAAUGGUUAUGGCUUCUGUCUCCCAAGCUGAAGGUUCAGAGAUCAAAUCCUGGUCGGUGCCU
Non-coding RNA from Culex pipiens (northern house mosquito), 74 nucleotides. Lineage: Eukaryota; Metazoa; Arthropoda; Insecta; Diptera; Culicidae. The record is from Rfam.